GCUAACUACGUGCCAGCAGCCGCGGUAAUACGUAGGGCGCAAGCGUUAUCCGGGAAUUAUUGGGCGUAAAGAGCUCGUAGGCGGUUUGUCGCCGUCUGCCGUGAAAGUCCGGGGCUCCAACUCCGGAUCUGCGGUGGGUACCGGGCAGACUAGAGUGAUGUAGGGGAGACUGGAAUUCCUGGUGUAGCGGUGAAAUGCGCAGAUAUCAGGAGGAACACCGAUGGCGAAGGCAGGUCUCUGGGCAUUAACUGACGCUGAGGAGCGAAAGCAUGGGGAGCGAACAGGAUUAGAUACCCUGGUAGUCCAUGCCGUAAACGUUGGGCACUAGGUGUGGGGGACAUUCCACGUUUUCCGCGCCGUAGCUAACGCAUUAAGUGCCCCGCCUGGGGAGUACGGCCGCAAGGCUAAAACUCAAAGGAAUUGACGGGGGCCCGCACAAGCGGCGGAGCAUGCGGAUUAAUUCGAUGCAACGCGAAGAACCUUACCAAGGCUUGACAUGAACCGGUAAGACCUGGAAACAGGUCCCCCGCUUGCGGUCGGUUUACAGGUGGUGCAUGGUUGUCGUCAGCUCGUGUCGUGAGAUGUUGGGUUAAGUCCCGCAACGAGCGCAACCCUCGUUCUAUGUUGCCAGCACGUGAUGGUGGGGACUCAUAGGAGACUGCCGGGGUCAACUCGGAGGAAGGUGGGGACGACGUCAAAUCAUCAUGCCCCUUAUGUCUUGGGCUUCACGCAUGCUACAAUGGCCGGUACAAAGGGUUGCGAUACUGUGAGGUGGAGCUAAUCCCAAAAAGCCGGUCUCAGUUCGGAUUGGGGUCUGCAACUCGACCCCAUGAAGUCGGAGUCGCUAGUAAUCGCAGAUCAGCAACGCUGCGGUGAAUACGUUCCCGGGCCUUGUACACACCGCCCGUCAAGUCACGAAAGUUGGUAACACCCGAAGCUCGGUGGCCUAACCCCUUGUGGGAGGAGC
This 967-nucleotide ribosomal RNA is filed under the name Pseudarthrobacter siccitolerans. RNAcentral describes it as "bacterial SSU rRNA". It matches the Rfam family "Bacterial small subunit ribosomal RNA", at positions 496 to 1453 of the family's 1533-position model. Lineage: Bacteria; Bacillati; Actinomycetota; Actinomycetes; Micrococcales; Micrococcaceae. The record is from RNAcentral.